RNAcentral lists this transfer RNA (111 nucleotides) under Fusarium piperis. RNAcentral's name for it is "tRNA-Val". It matches the Rfam family "tRNA". From Rfam's summary of the family: Transfer RNA (tRNA) molecules are approximately 80 nucleotides in length. Their secondary structure includes four short double-helical elements and three loops (D, anti-codon, and T loops). The record is from RNAcentral. Lineage: Eukaryota; Fungi; Ascomycota; Sordariomycetes; Hypocreales; Nectriaceae.
CCCAGACUGGUGUAGCUGGUAACACAUCCGUUUGACACCUAUGGAAGCCCGCACGGCUGAAAUAGGCCCUUCGGGGGGUCGGAGUUCCCGGUUCGAUUCCGGGGUCUGGGA